UCAAACUUGGUCAUUUAGAGGAAGUAAAAGUCGUAACAAGGUCAUCGUAGGUGAACCUGCGGUGGGAUCAUCAUUGAACCAAAAGAUACAUUGAGAGAACAUGAAGAAAACCAGGGUGGGGAGAGUCGAAAGACUUGGACCCGCCCGCACAUUAAACCAAAUAAACAAUAUAUAUUACGCUGUGCUGUAAAACAAAAAAUACAACUAUCAGCGGUGGAUCACUUGGCUCUUGCAUCGAUGAAGAACGCAGC
RNAcentral lists this unclassified non-coding RNA (251 nucleotides) under uncultured fungus. Its description in RNAcentral is "partial contains small subunit ribosomal RNA, internal transcribed spacer 1, and 5.8S ribosomal RNA". The stretch from base 1 to 73 matches the Rfam family "Eukaryotic small subunit ribosomal RNA", at positions 1759 to 1831 of the family's 1831-position model. Lineage: Eukaryota; Fungi. The record is from RNAcentral.